AGCGGCGGACGGGUGAGUAACACGAGGGUAACCUGCCCAAGAGACUGGGAUAACACCUGGAAACAGAUGCUAACACCGGAUAACAACACUAGACGCAUGUCUAGAGUUUGAAAGAUGGUUCUGCUAUCACUCUUGGAUGGACCUGCGGUGCAUUAGCUAGUUGGUAAGGUAACGGCUUACCAAGGCAAUGAUGCAUAGCCGAGUUGAGAGACUGAUCGGCCACAUUGGGACUGAGACACGGCCCAAACUCCUACGGGAGGCAGCAGUAGGGAAUCUUCCACAAUGGACGAAAGUCUGAUGGAGCAACGCCGCGUGAGUGAAGAAGGGUUUCGGCUCGUAAAGCUCUGUUGGUAGUGAAGAAAGAUAGAGGUAGUAACUGGCCUUUAUUUGACGGUAAUUACUUAGAAAGUCACGGCUAACUACGUGCCAGCAGCCGCGGUAAUACGUAGGUGGCAAGCGUUGUCCGGAUUUAUUGGGCAUAAAGCGAGUGCAGGCGGUUCAAUAAGUCUGAUGUGAAAGCCUUCGGCUCAACCGGAGAAUUGCAUCAGAAACUGUUGAACUUGGGUGCAGAAGAGGAGAGUGGAACUCCAUGUGUAGCGGUGGAAUGCGUAGAUAUAUGGAAGAACACCAGUGGCGAAGGCGGCUCUCUGGUCUGCAACUGACGCUGAGGCUCGAAAGCAUGGGUAGCGAACAGGAUUAGAUACCCUGGUAGUCCAUGCCGUAAACGAUGAGUGCUAAGUGU
RNAcentral lists this ribosomal RNA (742 nucleotides) under uncultured bacterium. RNAcentral describes it as "bacterial SSU rRNA". It matches the Rfam family "Bacterial small subunit ribosomal RNA", at positions 94 to 823 of the family's 1533-position model. The record is from RNAcentral.